CCCUUAGAUGUCCUGGGCCGCACGCGCGCUACACUGACAUGUUCAACAAGCCUCCUAGUUCGACAGGAUUUGGGAAAUCUUUGAACGCAUGUCGUGAUAGGGAUAGAUCAUUGCAAUUAUUGAUCUUGAACGAGGAAUUCCUAGUAAACGCGAGUCAUCAGCUCGCAUUGAUUACGUCCCUGCCCUUUGUACACACCGCCCGUCGCACCUACCGAUUGAAUGUUUCGGUGAAGAUUCCGGAUAGGACUUUUUUGAUUUAUUUCAAUUUUGUCUUAAAAGCUAUCUAAACCUCAACAGUUAGAGGAAGGUGAAGUCGUAACA
Molecule: ribosomal RNA, 321 nt
Filed under: uncultured eukaryote
Lineage: Eukaryota
Description: partial 18S ribosomal RNA
Rfam family: Eukaryotic small subunit ribosomal RNA
Source: RNAcentral